UCACUCUCGUGUGCCACUGCGUUCCUCCCCCUCAGUCAGCGCCCGAGCGCCGCCGAGCUUGCAGCCGUUGCCCCGUGCCGUCGUUCCAAGUGCUGCGCGCCGCGUGUUUUCCCGCGAGCGCGCGUGUGUGUUAGUCCCAAUAGAUCAGCGAACGAUCUCGCGCACCUAUACCUCGGAUCUGUUCCGCAUUGUUCUGUGAUCACAAUGAAGCGGCGAGUCAUCGCAAGCUCCUCGCAAGCUUCGUAGAAGAAGCGAGAGCCGCGAGGCUGAGAGAUAGGAGAGAAGUGUGCCGCCGGAAUAAAACAGGAUGAUGACGAGGAGGAGGAGGAAGCCUUAGCGCAGAGUGUGUGUGUCGUACGAGUCUCGAAGAAGCUGCGGAGAGCUAUGCCGGUCCUACCGAUCCCGCCAACAUGAGCGUGGAGAGGAUCAGAGCCACGACGACGACGACGACGACGACGGCAAGCCGUAGGCAAGAGGUUAAUUCAUGCGGUCGAGGGCCUCUGACUACAGCAGGGCAACGGUAGCAGAGCCAGCGGCAUCGUCAGGAUCACUCGUGAAAAAUGAACCUGAUAAACAUGGACGCGGAGAACCGCGUGGUCCUGAACGUCGGCGGCAUAAGGCACGAGACUUACAAAGCGACGCUGAAGAAGAUCCCGGCGACCCGCUUGUCUCGGCUCACCGAGGCUCUCGCCAAUUACGAUCCCAUACUUAACGAGUACUUCUUCGAUCGGCAUCCGGGCGUCUUUGCCCAGGUGCUCAACUACUAUCGCACGGGCAAGCUGCACUAUCCGACCGACGUCUGCGGCCCGCUAUUCGAGGAGGAGCUCGAUUUUUGGGGCCUCGAUUCCAACCAGGUGGAGCCCUGCUGCUGGAUGACCUACACUCAGCACCGAGACACGCAGGAGACGCUGACCGUCCUGGACAGGCUCGACCUCGACACGGAGAAGCCGAGCGACGAGGAGCUCGCUCGGAAAUUCGGCUUCGAGGAAGCCUACUACAAGGGCGAGCUCACCUGGUGGCAGAAGCUCAAGCCGAAAAUGUGGUCCCUUUUCGAUGAACCCUACUCCUCCACUUACGCCAAGGUGAUCGGCGUGAUCUCGGUGUUCUUCAUCUGCGUGUCGAUCGUGUCGUUCUGCCUGAAGACCCACCCGGACAUGCGGGUGCCGGUGAUCGUGAACAAGACGGUGUACGCGGGCAACGGGACCAGCUGGGUCCUCGACAAGACCCACACGAACGCCCACGACGCGUUCUUCUACAUCGAGUGCGUGUGCAACGCCUGGUUCAGCCUGGAGUUCCUCAUCAGGAUAACGGCCAGCCCGAAGCGCUGCGAGUUCAUCAAGAGCUCGGUCAACCUCAUCGACAUGAUCGCCACGCUGAGCUUCUACAUCGACCUGGCCCUGCAGCGCUUCGCCUCGCAUCUCGAGAACGCCGACAUCCUCGAGUUCUUCAGCAUAAUCCGGAUAAUGCGGCUGUUCAAGCUCACCCGACACUCCUCCGGCCUGAAGAUCCUCAUCCAGACGUUCCGCGCCUCGGCCAAGGAACUCACGCUUCUCGUCUUCUUCCUAGUCCUCGGCAUCGUCAUCUUCGCGAGUCUGGUUUACUACGCCGAGCGCAUCCAGUACAAUCCGAAGAACGACUUCAAGAGCAUACCUCUGGGUCUGUGGUGGGCCCUGGUCACGAUGACCACGGUCGGCUACGGCGACAUGGUGCCCAAAACUUACGUGGGCAUGUUUGUCGGCGCUCUGUGCGCCCUAGCGGGCGUACUCACAAUCGCCCUGCCGGUGCCCGUGAUCGUCAGCAACUUUGCGAUGUAUUACAGUCACACGCAGGCGCGAGCCAAGCUCCCGAAGAAGAGACGUCGAGUGCUUCCAGUGGAGCAGCCCCGGACGAGAGCGCCCGGGGUGCCGGGGACCGGCGGUGCUGGCACCGGGCAGCCCGGGGCCAUGAUGCCGGCCGGGCCCGGGGGGCAUCACCCACCGCCGGUCGCCGGCCACUGCCAGCUCGCCCUCACGGCUUCCGAUGCUGGCAUGCCCCCGAUCAAGCACCAGCGGGCCAACGCCAUGAAGCCCAACCAUCCCAAGGACCCGUUCGCCACCAAGUCGGGGAGCCACGUUUAAUUCCGUCCGAUAGACCACUGGAUCUCGACGGUUAUUACCUUUCAAGAUUACCUAAUAGUUCCAAUCCGAUCGACGGGUGAUGUUACGUUAACUUAUCAUCGUUCCAUGCAUGCUGCCUACGAGAACGAGGACCGCAAGAACACGAAUCUGCGGACCAACGGGACCAAGUCAGCGUCGGGCAUGGGCUAAUCAGUGUGUCGUCCACACACGUAGCCGUGUCUCCGACGAUGACGGACUUGAGUGUGUGCGUUUACACGCGGGGGCAGGCCAGCAACGCGACCACCUUUUGCGAGGACGACGGCCAGACGGACUAGGAGAGAGACUGGACUCGCUGUGCGGAGGCGCGAAUCGUCCCUCGAGCUCCAAACUCUAUAUGCGCGUCUGUGUACUAUAAGUAUGUUACUCGUAGAGAUAAGGAACUCGAGCGCGAGCAUCGAGCUGUGCUCGGCGACGUCGGCCAGGUGGGAAAGAAUCUUGUAAAAUUAGCAGAUAUCGUAUACGCGGCCGACUCGGCCGUUCGAUAUACUGUGGCGAACGGACGAGUCGGCGAAAUGCUUUGUUCCUCACCUCGUCGACGCCGCGCUCGAGAGCACAGCUUGUCGCUCGUGUGGUUCCUCAUAGUAUGUAGUUAUUCGUAGAUCUUUUUUUUUUCUACACUAACAACACACAAGAGCGAGCAGUGCGCGGAAGAUCAGAGACUCCCGUGAUAUAGCGACAAGUGCAUUCGAAAAAGCUCGCGGCCAAUCAGAAAGUUUCGAGACUCUGCGACGAAAAGUCGAGCCGGAAUUCGAUUCAUAUACCGGAUGCGCACGUGCGAAGAAAUCGCGAGCUUUUUCCACCCCCGGAAAAAUUCAUCCCUCCGCCGGCGAGCUUUGCGGUGAUCGGAAUUCCAUUGUGCGGUCGCGGCUCUUGCAAGAUGCGGUUAUCGAUUUUCCCCCUCAUAUUUAUUCCGACUCGGAUCACUCCUCGCGUCGUCUCGAAUUAAUUUGCCUAAUGGUGGAAAGCCGCGAGCACACAUGUACGAUAUACUAUAUACGCAUAAAUAUAGGUCGCGCGACGCCGAGAGGACUUUCCUUAACACGCGGCGGUCCCCUUCUCUGAUAUCGUAUACAUACUCGACGCACUCGCAUACAUGUAUACAUAUAGCGAACACACACACGCAGAGACACAUUAUACGAAUAUAUACCCUCCAUAUCGUCGGGACCAAUAACAAGCGGCUCUUUCUCAUCCUCGCACUCCCCCCCACAGUCGCCUUUUUCGAUAUUAUUACGCAUAAUCCGGGCGGCUCUCUCUCUCUCUCUUUCUCUCUCUCGCCCCCCCCCCCCCCUACUAUCAAGCCUUCGGCGCAUCUUUCGUAUACGAGUGUGCGGUAUGAAUAUAUACUGCAGCGGCGAAACGCGCUUAUGUGUGUAUAUCACGGAGACGGUAUAUAUAUAAAACCGACAAGACUGUGUGCGGAUCUGAGGUUAUACCGCGACGGUCGCACAUGACUAAUAGCCCCGAAUUAAUCGACGAUCGCGCGCGGGUUGUGUAUUAUAAAAAAAAAAAUAAAUAAAAUAACGGAGAAAUCUCAUAUCAUAUACGUAUAGGGUAUAUAUAAAAAGUGUAGUAUAUAGAGGCUGAUUUGCUCGCGCGCACGUAGUUUUAGAAACGACGUUCGCAGGUGCAUGUUUGGGCCGGGAUGAGUGAUGAACUUGGACGCGCGUCGGCUGAUCCUCUUUAUAGUAUAACACAGAGACGCGUGCGAGACUUAUCCGUCUGUUUCCAUUAUCCAUGUAUACCGCGAGAGCGAGUGUGUUGUCCGGCAGUAUGAAACGAGGUCAGGAGGUGUUGUAUACACGUACCGUUGAAAAUUCAGAACACCUCGUCGUCACAAUUCAAUUUGCAACGCUGAGCUGCGUCGAUUCGAAUUAUCCCUGAAUACUCUUACGUUGUAGAUCGUAAUCUUCUACACUUUUCACAGCUCGGCGAGAUCCUUACUGCUCCGAAAUCAAAUUUCCCGCUAAUCACCGCCAGUAUAAAUCACCGCAACGCCGAAAGCUCGAGAACUCCCGCAACGUCUCGAAAUCCGAGAGUAACAAAGAGGUCGUAGCUAUAUACAUCAGCGUAAGGAAAAGUUGGCCACGCGCACGUCUUUCUCCGGAAAAUCCGCACGUGCUGCCGCGCACGUAUACACGUUUUUCACCUUUUUUCACAUCGCAGCGCAGCGAGAGAAGACGCGCCCGAGUUUAAGCCAAUCCCCCAAACGCUUGUUGCACGCUCGCAAGCUCCGAGGUCACGAGAGAAGCGGUCUGCGGCUUCGCGCUCGCGCAAGCGUCUGAGUCAUAUCGCUUUUUUCUCUCUCAGCUGCUGCUUUUUGCGAUUUUUAAGUAUUCGAGCGUACACAGCAGCGGAGAGUUCUUUAUAGGAGUUUCGAGGCUUUGUGGUGCGGCUGAUGGACUAUAUUUUCGCUCUUUCGGUCACUUGAUUUUCCGAGAGCUUUUGUGCGCGAGUUUUGUUUGCUCUUUUUACCCUCGAGGCAGAACGAGGCGCGGGAUUGCUUAUUAAAUGCGAGAUUUCUCAACGAGAGUCGCCAAACACUCGAGCUUUCGAUUACAUCGAUGGGGUAUACUGUUGUUAACGAUUCGCGGAGCUUUUUGAACUGACGGUACUCGAAUUGAUUGGUGGUAUUCGGUUUCGAUGAAAUAUCAGUGUAUCAUCCGUACGAAAUGAUCGGUUUGAUUGCGGAGAGCUUUUCUCGAGCUUUCGUUCAAAUUUUGAAUAUUUAUUCGAAAGUUGGAAUAUUCAGCUUUGAAAGCUCGACUUAGCCUUGUUGAAUCUGCGAGUGGAUUUUCUCACUCGAAGUUUCGGGAAAGAAAAAGGAGGAUGAAUGUACUUCGGAAAGAAAUUACGGAUUUUUAAAGAAGCUUUAAAGUCUUUAUCUUUCAUUUCUGCAACGGGGUAUGAAUUUCUCAGACCCUUAUAUUCUCUCUUCAAGCCAUGAGUAGUAGUGUUAAAACAGAACAGUUUUGCAUUAGCCUCGUCACCGGCAAUUCGACUAGUCUGCUACCUAGUACCUGGCUGUCGACAAUAGGUGGCGCAUAGGAGCUUUCCCGGCUCCCUCUAUCUAUAUCAACGCGAAGACUGCAUAUUAUAUCCAUAGCAGUGUUCUAUCCACGACAAAAUUGCUUGAUUGGGCCUACUACUAUAGGACCGUUCGUGCUAAAACUGCUUAAUUGUGUUGCUUUCAAGCUAUACAUUUAAGUGGAUUGAAGUCUUUUGAAAUUAUUUGGAUGUAGGCUUAAGGACGGUAGAACAACUUAAGUAUAACUACUUCGGUUCUUACCACACUCGACUUGUCGAACUUCGACACCAUCCCAAAACGCGAUCGAUCGCGAUCAGUUCUCUCGAAAAACAAUCCCGCGACAGCUCUCUCGCUCGCAUAUCAUCCUUCUUCAGCCCUCUCAACACACACUUUGAAACAUCCCCGCGCUCGCGACGACAAAUCCAGAUACGCGAAUCCCCAGGGUGGGCCGCGAGAGAGGAUGAAAAAAAAUCUCGGCGAAAAUCCUCUCGAGCGUAAAAACUGCGCGAUAUGCACAACUCACCGGGCUUGUGUAGAGCUUUGACGAAAGAGCGGAGGGGCGCAAGCUGGCGGGAAAUCGAAAAUUCUUCAAAUUUUCUCGCUCGAAUCUGAAAUCUAGAGCGCGUGUAUAGCGAGCGGUACAAGCACUUAGAGAGAGAGAGAGAGAGAGAGAGAGAGAGAGAGAGAGAGGGAAUUGCUCCCUCGGCGAGUCGUACGAAGAAAUGCUUCUUUCUUCCCCCUUUGGCAUAUAACGUAGAGACUCUAUCUAUUCUCGCUCUCUCUCUCUCUCUCUCUCUCUCUCUCUCUCUCUCUCUCUCUCUCUCUCUCUCUCUCUCUCUCUCUCUUUGCAUCGCGCACUAGCUGCUGUAUAUAGAAUUUUCCGCGCGAGACACGCACGAGCUGAGCUAUUUUCGUCUGUAUACGCGCCAGUCAAUCGAAAAGAAGGAAUAUAUUAUACGAGACGCAGAGCCGGGGCUACAGAGUUUUCCACACACAUUCACAUACAUACAUAUCCCGUAUAUUAUAUAAUGCAGUAUAUGAUAAACGCAGUCGCGAGAGCUUUAUGGAUUAGCCUACACACACACGCGCGCGCGCACCUAUAUGCCGUAGUCGAUCGCGAGCUGUACAUAUAUGCAUACGCUAUAGUCGUUACAGGUGUACGUGUAUAAUAUAAUACUCCACUAUAUAGAGGAGCGCGGCGCAUCGACUCCACCUCGGCGUCGCGCGUCUAAUAUACGAUAUCAAGGCUGCCGUCGUCGUCGCUCGCGCGCGAGGCAAUCAGUGCCAGGCUCCGAUUUUCCCGGGGAGUCUCUUAUUUACUCGUAUCGCUCGCUCGUAUCCCCUAUCACACCCACACCCACACACCCACACACACACACACGCGCGCGCGCGCGCGAGUCCAAGCAGUGCUGCAUGUGCGUGACGAGGGCGAGUGUAAAUUAAAAUCCCGAGAAGGAUGUUGAGGAGGAAAUUCGGUCUGAUCGUGCGGCGCAUGCGAGGAGAAAGAAAAGUCGUCGCUUGAUCGAGAUAAGAGCUCGCCUUACGUUUAUACGAACGAUGACGUUGAUAACGAGCACACACGCGCAGUUUGUUUUUUUUUCUUCUUUCUGAAACGGAAAAAGAGGGAGAAAAUUGGAGCGUCAUUUUUCUUUCCGUUGAUGGAAUAGGCUCAGCGAUAUAGCGUUUUCACGCAUGUAUAUAACGGGCUCGCGGAGCGAAGAAUGAUGAGAGAGAGAGAGAGAGAGAGAGAGAGAGGCGC
This is an RNA transcript of Nasonia vitripennis (jewel wasp), 6940 nucleotides long. It is a transcript of the gene named potassium voltage-gated channel protein Shaw, with no coding region annotated. NCBI's taxonomy places the organism in Eukaryota, Metazoa, Arthropoda, Insecta, Hymenoptera, Pteromalidae. The record is from RefSeq and is a predicted model, not a curated record. The transcript is spliced from 6 exons.